UACGAAGGGGGCUAGCGUUGCUCGGAAUCACUGGGCGUAAAGGGCGCGUAGGCGGAUCUUUAAGUCGGAGGUGAAAGCCCAGGGCUCAACCCUGGAAUUGCCUUCGAUACUGUCUGGCUAGAGACCGGAAGAGGUAAGUGGAACUGCGAGUGUAGAGGUGAAAUUCGUAGAUAUUCGCAAGAACACCAGUGGCGAAGGCGGCUUACUGGUCCGGUUCUGACGCUGAGGCGCGAAAGCGUGGGGAGCAAACAGG
Molecule: ribosomal RNA, 253 nt
Filed under: uncultured bacterium
Lineage: Bacteria
Description: partial 16S ribosomal RNA
Rfam family: Bacterial small subunit ribosomal RNA
Source: RNAcentral